GUCAGGUUGGCCGAGUGGUCUAAGGCGUCGGAUUUAAGCUUCGAUACCCAAAGGGUGCGAGGGUUCGAACCCCUCACCUGACA
Molecule: transfer RNA, 83 nt
Filed under: Diabrotica virgifera virgifera (western corn rootworm)
Lineage: Eukaryota; Metazoa; Arthropoda; Insecta; Coleoptera; Chrysomelidae
Description: transfer RNA leucine (anticodon UAA)
Rfam family: tRNA
About the family: Transfer RNA (tRNA) molecules are approximately 80 nucleotides in length.
Source: Rfam by way of RNAcentral